This 217-nucleotide ribosomal RNA is filed under the name uncultured bacterium. Its description in RNAcentral is "partial 16S ribosomal RNA". It matches the Rfam family "Bacterial small subunit ribosomal RNA", at positions 1286 to 1500 of the family's 1533-position model. The record is from RNAcentral.
UCUCAGUUCGGAUUGUAGUCUGCAACUCGACUACAUGAAGCUGGAAUCGCUAGUAAUCGCGAAUCAGAAUGCUGCGGUGAAUGCGUUCCCGGGUCUUGUACACACCGCCCGUCACACCACGGAAGUUGGGGGCGCCCGAAGCCACUUAGCUAACCCUUUUGGGAAGCGAGUGUCGAAGGUGAAAUCAAUAACUGGGGUGAAGUCGUAACAAGGUAAC